Molecule: ribosomal RNA, 460 nt
Filed under: uncultured bacterium
Lineage: Bacteria
Description: partial 16S ribosomal RNA
Rfam family: Bacterial small subunit ribosomal RNA
Source: RNAcentral
CCUACGGGUGGCAGCAGUGAGGAAUAUUGGUCAAUGGACGAGAGUCUGAACCAGCCAAGUAGCGUGAAGGAUGAAUGCCCUACGGGUUGUAAACUUCUUUUAUAUGGGAAUAAAAUGUUCCACGUGUGGCAUUUUGUAUGUACCAUAUGAAUAAGGAUCGGCUAACUCCGUGCCAGCAGCCGCGGUAAUACGGAGGAACCGAGCGUUAUCCGGAUUUAUUGGGUUUUAAGGGGGCGUAGGUGGAUUGUUAAGUCAGUUGUGAAAGUUUGCGGCUCAAACGUAAAAUUGCAGUUGAAACUGGCAGUCUUGAGUACAGUAGAGGUAGGCGGAAUUCGUGGUGUAGCGGUGAAAUGCUUAGAUAUCACGAAGAACUCCGAUUGCGAAGGCAGCUCACUGGACUGCAACUGACACUGAGGCUCGAAAGUGUGGGUAUCAAACAGGAUUAGAUACCCUAGUAGUC